Mustela lutreola (European mink) is the source of this 1541-nucleotide long non-coding RNA. RefSeq lists it as uncharacterized. The record is from RefSeq and is a predicted model, not a curated record. The transcript is spliced from 4 exons. Lineage: Eukaryota; Metazoa; Chordata; Mammalia; Carnivora; Mustelidae.
CGGUGCUGAGAUGCAGAGAAAUGUGCAGGGCAGGGGCUCCGGACCGGCUGCAGAGAUGCACUGGCCCCUCUCCUCCAGCGACAAGCCAGGCCACGGGAAAUAAAGGUGUCUUCCAAGGGACAGACCGAAGGACAAGCACUUAAGACACAAGCAAGGGCACAGUCCAGGGGGCAGCUUGGAGCCCGAGCAGCCCUGUUUGUAAUAACCACACCUGGGAAGCACCCAAAUGCCCCUCAGCCGUAGAACAGAUACACCGACAGCAUUCUGCGGGCGGUGCAGUGGAAUGACAGCGCUGCUACGAAUAGUGCACAGCCACACAUAACAUGAUGACUCACGCAUGAUUUGGGGUAACCAGCUACUGAGCGCCUACCGUAUGGCACGUACUCAGCCAGAUGCAGGGUACUGGGGCCGGCAGCAAGAUCCGCUGUCCCUCCUGGAGGAUCCUGUAGCAGAAUGGGAAGCGCCUCUGAGAAAGGAAUGCCUGCUAGGCCCGCAGCCGGGGAGCCCAGCAUAGGACCUGCUCAUAGUAGGUCCCGCAUCAGUGUUUCUGAAAAGACAAAUGAACGCACGCAUAAAAGCGUAUGCGUAAAGUUUCUUGUGAAUAAAAUUUAAACGUCAGAUUAAUUGACUUCUACGGUCUGGAGUUGGGCACAGAGAACGGACAGAGAGCAAGGUUACUGCGCAUGUGCAAGAACAGGUGCAGCUGCCCGAGCGCCUGUGCGCCAGUAACCUUGCUCUCUGUCCAUUCAGAGCAGGAGUAGGGGCGGGGCCGCACUUCCUGCCUCCAUUCCAGCCUAGCCCCCUGGGGCCUGGUCCAGCUGCCCGCAGCAAGCAGGGGGUCGCAGAAUGUGUGUUUGUCAGGUUGACUCUCCACCCCCAGCGGGAUGACACUGGGGGGCUCUUUGGGGGUGAUUGGUAGGGUGGAGUCCUACCGAUGGAUGAGUGCCCUCAUAAGAAGAGGGCACCAGAAAGCUCCUUUCUUCUCUUCUUGCAUGCCUGCACCGAGGAAGGCCGUAGGAGGAGGCCCUCCCCAGAGCCCAGCCAUGUUGGUGUCCGGGUCUCAGAUUUCCUGGUGUCCAGAACUGUGAGAAAUAAGUACUGGGUGCUUGAGCUGCCCAGUCUGCCUUAUUCCUGUUACAGCAGCCUGAGCAGAUUAAGACAGAGGGUAAGGUGAGCCUGUCGCUUGUGACCCCACUGUUCAACCACCUGGGGGUGGGAGGCUACAAACUCACACAGCUCCCCCUCAGGCCCUCCUUAAAUGACAGGGCCCCAGUGCUGUGAGGAGGGAGCUGGACAUAUGAGAAGCCUGUUGCCCCAGAGUCAGAAAGACCUGGCCCCAGAGCAGGACCUGCCUGGGCACUUACCUGUCACAGGUGUGCGACCUCAGAAACACUCUAUGCCUGGUUGACAGCUCUGCAAGACUGUCCAGGAAUUUCCCCUCCUCGAGGAAGCCCUCUCGAUGUCCUGCCUCACCAGAGAGAGUGGAUCCCUUCCAUGAGCUCUGACUCCCUCUGCCCCUUCACAGAUCAUUCCCAGCUGUA